GGAGUUUGGACCGUGUCUCAGUUCCAAUGUGGGGGACCUUCCUCUCAGAACCCCUACUGAUCGUCGGCUAGGUGGGCCGUUACCCCGCCUACUACCUAAUCAGACGCAUCCCCAUCCAUAAGCGAUAAAUCUUUAUUCCAUCUCAGAUGUCUUUAAUGGAAACCAUAGGGCAUUAAUCCGAUUUUCACCGGGCUAUGCCCUACUAAGGGGAAGGUUGGAUACGCGUUACUCACCCGUGCGCCGGUCGCCAUCGGGGUUUGCAAGCAAACCCCAUGCUGCCCCUCGACUUGCAUGUGUUAAGCCUGUAGCUAGCGUUCAUC
This 320-nucleotide ribosomal RNA is filed under the name uncultured Prevotella sp. Its description in RNAcentral is "partial 16S ribosomal RNA". The record is from RNAcentral. Lineage: Bacteria; Pseudomonadati; Bacteroidota; Bacteroidia; Bacteroidales; Prevotellaceae.